Molecule: ribosomal RNA, 446 nt
Filed under: uncultured bacterium
Lineage: Bacteria
Description: partial 16S ribosomal RNA
Rfam family: Bacterial small subunit ribosomal RNA
Source: RNAcentral
CCUACGGGAGGCUGCAGUCGAGAAUCAUUCACAAUGCUGGAAACCCUGAUGGUGCGACGCCGCGUGGGUGAAUGAAGGUCUUCGGAUUGUAAACCCCUUUCAUGUGGGAGCAAAUUAAAAAGAUAGUACCACAAGAGGAAGAGACUGCUAACUCUGUGCCAGCCGCCGCGGUAAUACAGAGGUCUCACGCGUUGUUCGGAAUCACUGGGCGUAAAGCGUGCGUAGGCUGUUUCGUAAGUCGUGUGUGAAAGGCGCGGGCUCAACCCGAGGACGGCACAUGAUACUGCGAGACUAGAGUAAUGGAGGGGGAACCGGAAGUCUUGGUGUAGCAGUGAAAUGCGUAGAUAUCGAGAGGAACACUCGUGGCGAAGGCGGGUUCCUGGACAUUAACUGACGCUGAGGCACGAAGGCCAGGGGAGCGAAAGGGAUUAGAUACCCGGGUAGUC